Non-coding RNA from Cricetulus griseus (Chinese hamster), 125 nucleotides. Lineage: Eukaryota; Metazoa; Chordata; Mammalia; Rodentia; Cricetidae. The record is from RefSeq and is a predicted model, not a curated record.
GGAUGGAUGCCCCAACGUUACAGAGGAACUUUGGGUGACUGUCCAGGCUUUAGAAAAUUUACGUGUUUACCUGUGUGAGAAAAUCAUAGCAGAGAGACAUUUUGAUCAUCUGCGUGCAAAGAAAA